UGGGGAAUAUUGCACAAUGGGCGCAAGCCUGAUGCAGCGACGCCGCGUGAGCGAAGAAGUAUUUCGGUAUGUAAAGCUCUAUCAGCAGGGAAGAAAAUGACGGUACCUGACUAAGAAACUCCGGCUAAAUACGUGCCAGCAGCCGCGGUAAUACGUAUGGAGCAAGCGUUAUCCGGAUUUACUGGGUGUAAAGGGAGCGUAGGCGGUAAGGCAAGUCUGAUGUGAAAAUUUGGGGCUCAACCCCAAAACUGCAUUGGAAACUGUUUAACUGGAGUGUCGGAGGGGCAAGUGGAAUUCCUAGUGUAGCGGUGAAAUGCGUAGAUAUUAGGAGGAACACCAGUGGCGAAGGCGGCUUGCUGGACGAUAACUGACGCUGAGGCUCGAAAGCGUGGGGAGCAAACAGG
RNAcentral lists this ribosomal RNA (404 nucleotides) under uncultured bacterium. RNAcentral describes it as "bacterial SSU rRNA". It matches the Rfam family "Bacterial small subunit ribosomal RNA", at positions 355 to 776 of the family's 1533-position model. The record is from RNAcentral.